This 258-nucleotide ribosomal RNA is filed under the name uncultured bacterium. Its description in RNAcentral is "partial 16S ribosomal RNA". It matches the Rfam family "Bacterial small subunit ribosomal RNA", at positions 1243 to 1500 of the family's 1533-position model. The record is from RNAcentral.
AGAGAAGCGAAGCGGUGACGUGGAGCAAACCUCAGAAAGCCAAUCUCAGUUCGGAUUGUAGGCUGCAACUCGCCUACAUGAAGUUGGAAUCGCUAGUAAUCGCGAAUCAGAAUGUCGCGGUGAAUACGUUCCCGGGUCUUGUACACACCGCCCGUCACACCACGAGAGUUUACAACACCCGAAGUCAGUGGCCUAACCGCAAGGAGGGAGCUGCCUAAGGUGGGGUAGAUGAUUGGGGUGAAGUCGUAACAAGGUAGC